This 68-nucleotide transfer RNA is filed under the name Campanile symbolicum. Its description in RNAcentral is "tRNA-Val". Lineage: Eukaryota; Metazoa; Mollusca; Gastropoda; Campanilidae. The record is from RNAcentral.
CAGGGUGUAGCAUAUAAAAAUGCAUCUCGCUUACACUGAGAAUAUGCUGAAUUAUUCAGCCGCCUUAA